ACUCCUACGGGAGGCAGCAGUGGGGAAUAUUGCACAAUGGGCGAAAGCCUGAUGCAGCAACGCCGCGUGAGGGAUGACGGCCUUCGGGUUGUAAACCUCUUUUAGUAAGGAAGAAGAAUCACGGUACUUGCAGAAAAAGCACCGGCUAACUACGUGCCAGCAGCCGCGGUAAUACGUAGGGUGCAAGCGUUGUCCGGAAUUAUUGGGCGUAAAGAGCUCGUAGGCGGUUUGUCGCGUCUGCUGUGAAAACCGGAGGCUCAACCUCCGGCCUGCAGUGGGUACGGGCAGACUAGAGUGCGGUAGGGGAGAUUGGAAUUCCUGGUGUAGCGGUGGAAUGCGCAGAUAUCAGGAGGAACACCGAUGGCGAAGGCAGAUCUCUGGGCCGUAACUGACGCUGAGGAGCGAAAGCAUGGGGAGCGAACAGGAUUAGAUACCCUGGUAGUCCAUGCCGUAAACGUUGGGAACUAGAUGUAGGGGCCAUUCCACGGUUUCUGUGUCGCAGCUAACGCAUUAAGUUCCCCGCCUGGGGAGUACGGCCGCAAGGCUAAAACUCAAAGGAAUUGACGGGGGCCCGCACAAGCGGCGGAGCAUGCGGAUUAAUUCGAUGCAACGCGAAGAACCUUACCAAGGCUUGACAUAUACCGGAAACCUGCAGAAAUGUAGGCCCCGCAAGGCUGGUAUACAGGUGGUGCAUGGUUGUCGUCAGCUCGUGUCGUGAGAUGUUGGGUUAAGUCCCGCAACGAGCGCAACCCUCGUUCUAUGUUGCCAGCACGUUAUGGUGGGAACUCAUAGGAGACUGCGGGGUCAACUCGGA
Molecule: ribosomal RNA, 814 nt
Filed under: uncultured Actinomycetes bacterium
Lineage: Bacteria; Bacillati; Actinomycetota; Actinomycetes
Description: bacterial SSU rRNA
Rfam family: Bacterial small subunit ribosomal RNA
Source: RNAcentral